CCUACGGGGGGCAGCAGUGAGGAAUAUUGGUCAAUGGGCUUACGCCUGAACCAGCCAAGUCGCGUGAGGGAAGACUGCCCUAUGGGUUGUAAACCUCUUUUGUCAGGGAGCAACGCCGGCUACGUGUAGCCGGACUGAGAGUACCUGAAGAAAAAGCAUCGGCUAACUCCGUGCCAGCAGCCGCGGUAAUACGGAGGAUACGAGCGUUAUCCGGAUUUAUUGGGUUUAAAGGGUGCGUAGGCGGAAUGCCAAGUCAGCGGUAAAAUCGCGGGGCUCAACCUCGCUCCGCCGUUGAUACUGGCAGUCUUGAGUACAGUUGAGGUAGGCGGAAUUCGUGGUGUAGCGGUGAAAUGCUUAGAUAUCACGAAGAACUCCGAUUGCGAAGGCAGCUUACUAAACUGCCACUGACAUUGAUGCUCGAAAGUGUGGGUAUCAAACAGGAUUAGAUACCCCAGUAGUC
This 460-nucleotide ribosomal RNA is filed under the name uncultured bacterium. RNAcentral's name for it is "partial 16S ribosomal RNA". It matches the Rfam family "Bacterial small subunit ribosomal RNA", at positions 338 to 795 of the family's 1533-position model. The record is from RNAcentral.